UACGUAGGGGGCAAGCGUUGUUCGGAAUUACUGGGCGUAAAGGGCGCGUAGGCGGCACGGUAAGUCGGGAGUGAAAGCCCGGGGCUCAACCCCGGAACGUCUUUCGAAACUGCCGAGCUAGAGUGCGGAAGAGGCAACUGGAAUUCCCAGUGUAGCGGUGAAAUGCGUAGAUAUUGGGAAGAACACCUGAGGCGAAGGCGGGUUGCUGGGCCGGCACUGACGCUGAGGCACGAAGGCCAGGGGAGCAAACGGG
Molecule: ribosomal RNA, 253 nt
Filed under: uncultured bacterium
Lineage: Bacteria
Description: partial 16S ribosomal RNA
Rfam family: Bacterial small subunit ribosomal RNA
Source: RNAcentral